Macaca mulatta (Rhesus monkey) is the source of this 5472-nucleotide non-coding RNA. Lineage: Eukaryota; Metazoa; Chordata; Mammalia; Primates; Cercopithecidae. The record is from RefSeq and is a predicted model, not a curated record.
GGAACCUACAAAUAUGCUAUUUUAGGCAAAAGGGACUUUGCAGCUGUGAUUAAAUUAAGGCUCUGGAGAUGGGGAGAUUAUUCUGGAUUAUGUAGGUGGACUCAAUGUAAUCACAGGGUCCUUAUAAGAAGUAGACAAGAAGGUGAAACACAGAAGGUGAUGUGACCAUGGGAGCAGAGGAACAGAAGGAGACUGGACGAUGCUACAUUGCUGGCUUUGGAGGCAGAGGAAGGAGCCAUGGGACAAGGAAUACAGGGAGCCUCUAAAACUGGAAGUUAGAAAGCAGAUUUUCCCCUAGAGCCUCCUGAAGGAGCUGGCCGAGUGUUAGCCCAAAAAAACUGGGUCUGUACUUCUGAUCUUUGGAACUUUAAGAGAAUAGCUUUGCAUUGUUUUAAGUCCUGAGUUUGUGGUACUUUGUUACAAAAGCGAUAGGAAACGAAUAUACUUGUUGCAUCUCUUGUGUCUAGUAUUGGGCUUGGUAUAUGACAUGGACUCGGAAAGUAGUAUUUAUUGAAUGCAGUGAAAAUAUAAAGGAAAGAUGUUAUGAGAAUGGAACGUACCAAAUUCAUGGCAACUUUUAAAAUUUUUAUUUAUUUAUUUAUUUUUUGAGACAGAAUCUCGCUCUGUCGCCCUCGUGGCAACUUUUUCUGAUUUAAAAAGUUCUCUUUCUUAGGAUGAAAGGAACAUUCCUUUAAGGCUCAGAAGAGUGUACAGCUACCCAGAUAUCCAUGGCAAGGCCCCAGCGGUUACAUAGUUGUAUUUUAGCCCUUCAGGCCUAGCAAGCUCUUUCCUGGGAGCAAGUAAAGGAGACCAUAGGCCAUGAUAAACAGCACUUAGUGGCCAGUUGCUUUAAGAAUACCUGUUUAGUGUUUCCAGAGACUCAAAGCUCCAGGGAGACAAGCAGGAAGGAGGGGCAGUGUCAAAUACUGUACAAUACAAUUAGCAAAUACCAGCACCUUGACGAAUGUUUGGUAUACAGUAGGCAGUCAGAAAGUAAACGCUAGCAUGCAUGACAUUCAGAGCGUGUGACCUCUUUCUCCUAAAGCUUCCUACGGUAGAAGUCAGUCUCCUACUACUUCUACCUUCUCUAUCUCCUUGGAUGUUUGUUUUCAUCAGAUUUUACUCAUAUCUGCUGAACAAGAGCAAAGGGGAGUACCUUUCAACCUCAGAUACGGACACAUGUAUUUGUCAACAGGCCACACAUAUUCUGGGUACAGGGACUGCAGACCAUAGCAACGUACCUCACCUUUUCUGAGACCCUCUCCCUUGUUCAGUAUUUGUAAGCCUUUUAAUUUAAAGAAAAAUAAAUGAGGCCAUGCUAGCUGAUUAAAGAAUAAUUCCAAGGAAUUUAACACUUAGUGAUUAUAUUAGUGAUAUAUAGUAACUUCUCACUUUGGAUUCUUUUAGAUGUAUUACAGAGGUAAAAAUCAAUAUUUUCUACCAAACUGGAGAAAUUGAGAUGAUCUAUUUUUGACAUAUGGGUUCAGAGAAAAAUUAAUGAUACAGACUGGAAUAACUCUAGUUCCCCCAAGUCAACAUCUGAUUGACCCUUAGAAUCAGAAUUUAGGAAGAGGGAGGUUUAGGGGAUCAUGCAGUCCUGCCUCCUCACUCUACAGAUAAGGAAACCAGGCCUAGCUGGAAUUUCCCCCAUAUCACACAGCCAGAAAACAGCAGGCUCAAAAGUAGGGCCUUCGGAGUCCCCAAUGCGGCAUGCAUAUGUGUCUGCCUUGUUUCAUUGUGUAGGUACAGCGAGUUUGGAGGCAUACAAAAACAGAUAGACACCAAUCUUGCCUUCAAGGCGUUUACAGUCUAGCGGGGGAGAUAACACACGUAUAUAAAAAAAUUACUAGACAAAGUAAACAGCACUAUGCUCUACAAGACAGGUAUGGAUUAAGAAGGAAUCUUUUAGUCAUCGUCCCCCGAGAUUCUGUGUUUCAUUUUUUAAAACAAUAGUAAUCCAACUUGUGAAAUAGUGAACUUCCUCCAUUUUGCAAGAUUCCUCGAAACCAAGUACUUGGAAUAUAACUUAGUUAAGGAUUGCACAACACACACUAUUUGAGUAUCUGAUUUGGAAAACGAAGCCACAGAGCCAGACCACACAAUGCACAUUGGUUGGAAUCUGCUGGGCAGGUAUCUCCCCGUCGGUCCAGGCAAGCCAAAUCAAAUAAGGCACUGAGUUAAAAAGGAAGGCAAAGUAAAGGAUAAAUCUGUUGACCACCACUCCAGGAGGCCAAGGCCUCUUUCCUCCCCAUUAGUGGUGGCUUUUGCUCUAAAAUAAAAAUACCACACUUAAGCUGUGAUAGAGGAAAGCCCUUGGUUUGGGACCCGACUACAAAGUAACAGCAAAAGAGAGAAUUAUUACUCCUUAGUGACUCUCUUCGUGGUAUAAUGAGAAGAAUAGAAAGACCAUUGAAGAGUGGGAUUUGGGAGAAAUUUGGGUCAUGUGUCUGCAGCACUAGUUGCUUGCAGAAUUGGCCAUGUGGGUUGGCACACAGCACCGUGAAUAUUACAAACCACAAAUCUCCAGGGUUUCUUGAACAAAGUAAAAGGCCUUGUCUUCAGAAUGCCAGGUUGCCGGCUGGCUUUUAAAAGAAGCCCCUGGGUGAGCUCUAAAGCUACCUACGCAUUUCUGCCUUCUCCGUCUCUUUCUUCUCCGCCUCCUCUCCCUCUCCCCCUCCCUCUCCUCUCAUUUUGGAUAUCGCAUCUUGGUGGGUCUAACUGUAGCUCUGCUUCUGCCAAUACCCCCCUGCCCCACCCCGUCGGGAAGCAGGCCCUCUCCAUGACAACUACCAACACAGAAUCCACAGAGCUCUGGACAAUGGGACAAACCAUAUUCCUAUGAACAAAACCAAGGAAUCUGACGGACAAGAGAAUCCAGAGUCUGUGCAAUGGGCAGAAGAGAGGACCGAACUUUAUGGUUGAUUCCCCAUAGACCACACCAACAGGGCAAAGCCCUUCUGUACGUAUUUCUAUUUUCACACGUAUCUGCACAACCAUGUGUUUAGAAAUCAGAGGGUUGCUAUUUGUAAAACUCUUGAAAAACCCUCUUUUAAAUUGGAAAAAUUAUUUUAUAAAUGCCAACCCAAUCUGCUUUAUCUCAGUGAGCUGCUAUUAAGUGCAAAGAAGAUAACAUGUUACAGGUGAGUCUGUGCUUAAAGAGCUUUGACCACAAAGGCUAAACAGGGUCCAUUCUCCCAUGUGAAGAAAAAUGUUUCCAUUUCAAUUGUGAUGUUUGGAAUUUCAGCUUAAAGUACAAAAAAGGCACUGUCUCUUUAGUGCCUUUUGGAAAGAAGUGGAAUCAUCUGGCCAAGUGUUUCCUCCUUUCUACCUAGACUGUCAUUUGAGUACAUUGACCCCUCCCUGACAGAAAGUCUGUGUAAGCCCGAGGAGGAGGAACAUGCCGCAAACCCGCUGCAGAGCAUUAACAAGAACAGAAUUAAAAAGGAUCACUUCUGGGACUCAUCACACAACUUGGAAAUGGUGUUCAAUAAAAGAAAAGAUAAUUUGGAGCCACACUACCUGGAACGAACAUCUGACACGCAGCCACUGGUCUGGAUUUAGAAAACCGCUUUCAUCCCCAGAGGGUAGAUUGUUAAUGAGUGUUUUAAAGGGCAAGAUUGAGGAAGCACGAUAGAGUUGAAAAGGUACUGGUUUUGAAGGGUCCUAGUCUUGCUUCCACUUCUGUAAGCAAGUCGAACCGACUUUGAACAAGACACCUUACACUGCCCUGAGAAAAUGUCCUCAUCUCUAACACGGGAGGUGAAGUUAACCCUCUAGACCAUCCAACACUCAGAUCUAGGCCUUAAUGACUAUGAAAACGGGAAAAAUUUUAAAAUAAGAGCAGGUAAUGCUCGCACCUUUUCGCUACCCGAAAGGAAGGUAAAACAACCUUAUUAUAAAAGGCAACUUUUCUUACUCGUAUGCUAACAAUCAAUGCAUAAUUUACAUAGCAAUGCAUACACUUUAUAUUGUUCGAGAGAUCAUUAUUGACUGCCUGAAUUUGAUAUGCUCAUCCUUGUCGCGUCCUUCUCACUAAAUACUAAUUACCCAAAGUGAUCAAACCCCAGAUGUAAAAAAAAAUCAUCUUAUAAAUCACAGACAAGGAGGUAAAAAAAGAACUCAGUCAAACAUUUUUGAGUUCAUACAAAAAUGGAAUAGCAUAAUCUACCAGUAUGUUCCCAUCCCCCAGCUAAAGCAAUAUUUUAUCACUCUGACUUUAUCUAUUCCCAGUCCUCCCCAACGUACUUAUUUUCUGGAGCAUUUUAAAGUAAAUCUUCCAUAUCUUGUCAUUUCAUCCAUAACUACUUCAGUCAGUGAAGUAGGAUUUUUAGAAAACUACUACCAUGACAGCAUUACACCUGACAAUAUUAAAAAAUUAUUUACUAUCAUCUAAAGAACCAAUCAAUAUUCAAAUUUCAUCAAUCAUGUAAAGUUUUUUUUUCUUUCAGUUUUUGACUUGAAUCAGGGUCUAAACAAGCUAAGAGGUGAAACUGAUCUCACCCAAUUUACAAUCCUUUGUCUUUUACAUAUUUAGUUUAGAUGCUAACAUGACUUAGACACAACGUAUCUGAAACACAGAUAAUAUGAAGGUCAGCUUCAUCACAAUGUUAUUUGAAAUGUCUUAUUCUAUGAAUCAGAUAUAAAUGUAGUUAAAGGCUCAGAACUGGAAGAAUCUCAAGUAAUUCUCACAGUUUUCCCAAAUGCAUAAAUGAUUUAGGCAACCUUAAUGGAAUGCUUUAAAGAUAUUUUGCUAAAUCUUACACCAUUCCUAGGAAGAACACCUCUGACAGACUCUAGCAGCUUUUAUUUUGCCCAUAUAAAAAAGCUGGAUUUCUUAGACCGUGGAGCAGCCUAAUAGCAUAGGUAGCAUUUUCAAUUGUAGCUUCACCGGCACCUUAAGAAGAAAUCUACCUGGACAUGGCGGCAACGAGGCCAUCUUUGAAAACAGCUGAGAGCCUCAAACUGUCAACUCUGACUUUUGGGAAGAAGGGAGGUGAACAGUUUCUCCAUUCAGCCUCCCUGAGGCCUCUCUGGUAACACACAGGCACUGCCGUGACUCAUAACCAGAAAUACUGUUUUAUAACACCAGUCUGUGUUUUGUAACACGCACUGAAAGAAAAAAAAAAAAAAAAAAACUGUUUAGAAACCAAAACCAAGCCCUGCAUCUGGGCAUUGGUAUGAAGAUCUCAAGAGGUCAGAGUGGCUAUUUAAUCCAGAUAAAGUAGGCAAGGCCUUAUCCCUUUCCUUGGCAAGAAAGUGGAGGCUUCCUGCCUGCUGCACAUGCCCACAGGAGGAGCAACCAUGAAUUUAAUUUUCUUAAAACAGAAGCAUUUUCAGACUUGUGUUUUCCUGGACAGCUGCCUAGUGGCUGUAAUCCAUAAUAAGGGCGUGUAAUUGACAGUAAUGUGAAUCACUCACUGAAAUUCUGGCAAAAAAAAAAAAAAAAAAAAAUAGAGAGAGGUUUUUUUUUUU